GUGGGGAAUAUUGCACAAUGGGUGAAAGCCUGAUGCAGCAACGCCGCGUGAGGGACGACGGCCUUCGGGUUGUAAACCUCUUUUAGUAGGGAAGAAGCGAAAGUGACGGUACCUGCAGAAAAAGCACCGGCUAACUACGUGCCAGCAGCCGCGGUAAUACGUAGGGUGCAAGCGUUAUCCGGAAUUAUUGGGCGUAAAGAGCUCGUAGGCGGUCUGUCGCGUCUGCUGUGAAAACUGGAGGCUCAACCUCCAGCCUGCAGUGGGUACGGGCAGACUAGAGUGCGGUAGGGGAGAUUGGAAUUCCUGGUGUAGCGGUGGAAUGCGCAGAUAUCAGGAGGAACACCGAUGGCGAAGGCAGAUCUCUGGGCCGUAACUGACGCUGAGGAGCGAAAGCGUGGGGAGCGAACAGGAUUAGAUACCCUUGUAGUCC
This 430-nucleotide ribosomal RNA is filed under the name uncultured bacterium. RNAcentral describes it as "bacterial SSU rRNA". It matches the Rfam family "Bacterial small subunit ribosomal RNA", at positions 354 to 796 of the family's 1533-position model. The record is from RNAcentral.